UUACACAUGCAGUCGAGCGGGGAGAUGUAGCUUGCUACUUUUCCUAGCGGCGGACGGGUGAGUAAUGCUUAGGAAUCUGCCUAUUAGUGGGGGACAACAUUCCGAAAGGAAUGCUAAUACCGCAUACGCCCUACGGGGGAAAGCAGGGGAUCUUCGGACCUUGCGCUAAUAGAUGAGCCUAAGUCAGAUUAGCUAGUUGGUGGGGUAAAGGCCUACCAAGGCGACGAUCUGUAGCGGGUCUGAGAGGAUGAUCCGCCACACUGGGACUGAGACACGGCCCAGACUCCUACGGGAGGCAGCAGUGGGGAAUAUUGGACAAUGGGCGAAAGCCUGAUCCAGCCAUGCCGCGUGUGUGAAGAAGGCCUUUUGGUUGUAAAGCACUUUAAGCGAGGAGGAGGCUACUUGGAUUAAUACUCUAGGAUAGUGGACGUUACUCGCAGAAUAAGCACCGGCUAACUCUGUGCCAGCAGCCGCGGUAAUACAGAGGGUGCGAGCGUUAAUCGGAUUUACUGGGCGUAAAGCGUGCGUAGGCGGCUUCUUAAGUCGGAUGUGAAAUCCCUGAGCUUAACUUAGGAAUUGCAUUCGAUACUGGGAAGCUAGAGUAUGGGAGAGGAUGGUAGAAUUCCAGGUGUAGCGGUGAAAUGCGUAGAGAUCUGGAGGAAUACCGAUGGCGAAAGCAGCCAUCUGGCCUAAUACUGACGCUGAGGUACGAAAGCAUGGGGAGCAAACAGGAUUAGAUACCCUGGUAGU
Molecule: ribosomal RNA, 750 nt
Filed under: Acinetobacter sp.
Lineage: Bacteria; Pseudomonadati; Pseudomonadota; Gammaproteobacteria; Moraxellales; Moraxellaceae
Description: bacterial SSU rRNA
Rfam family: Bacterial small subunit ribosomal RNA
Source: RNAcentral